UAUAACUUUCAGCAAUGGAUGUCUUGGUUCCCAUAUUGAUGAAGAAUGCAGCGAAAUGCGAUACCUGUUGUGAAUUGUAAGACUUCGUGAAUCAUCAAAAUUUUGAAUGUGUAUCAUGCUUCUGGGAAAUGCCUGGGAGCGUGCUUGUUUGAGUGUCUGUACAUCAAACUUCAUCUGAUGAUGGUCACAUG
This 191-nucleotide ribosomal RNA is filed under the name Coscinodiscus radiatus. Its description in RNAcentral is "5.8S ribosomal RNA". The stretch from base 4 to 158 matches the Rfam family "5.8S ribosomal RNA". From Rfam's summary of the family: 5.8S ribosomal RNA (5.8S rRNA) is a component of the large subunit of the eukaryotic ribosome. It is transcribed by RNA polymerase I as part of the 45S precursor that also contains 18S and 28S rRNA. Lineage: Eukaryota; Bacillariophyta; Coscinodiscophyceae; Coscinodiscales; Coscinodiscaceae. The record is from RNAcentral.